CAAGGGGGGAUUUUUUACCAACUUCAGCCUUGCCUAUAUACCUGUAAGCCAAAAAAAAAAAGCCACUCAGGAUUUCUUUUUCUAAUUUUUAUCAUCACCAACAUAUUUAUGGCAAACACGCAUCUCGCUGCACAGAGAGGCUCAGAGGAGGUGUGACUCCACGAGGACGUGCAGGCAGCAGGAGGGAGGAGGACACGCGCUUCCACACAGCUCAUCAUUAUCUUCAUCAUCAUCUUCACCCUCCGUGAUCAAGUGGAAACUAAUCCCCCCCUUUUUUAAAAAAAAUUGUUACGUGGAGAGAACCGCCUCUGAACCAGGCCGCAGCCUCUGCAGCCGGACAGCUGCUGUACAUCUGGACAGUGCAAACACACACACACACACACACACACACACACACACACACACACACACUGAUGGUUUCCACUGACAGAGACACAAUCCCUGUUUUCCACACGAUCACAUGAUAGAGUUAUAAAACUGCAGCAUCAAACGAGACGCAGACAAACACAAAACAAACUGCUGCAGAGGCGCCAAAAAUCCAACAAAACACCUUCAACGCGGUUGAUUGUUGAUUGUUGACUCUGCAGAUUUUACUGAAUCACAAACAAACAACAACCGGAGCAAAUAUUUGCGCAAAAUUAUAAAAGAUUUUGGUAGAGAAAGAGGCAAAAAACCAGCUCGAAGAGGAGACAGCGCGCCAAUAUCCACCUACAGACAGUCCUCCAUGUUUUACAGGAUACAACGGGAAUAAAAUAACAACAUAAAAAUACAUAAAAAUAGAAUAAAAUCUGCUUAUUAAGGAGAAGCUGGAUAUAUUUAGCUGAUUCUGUUUUUUAUUUUAAGAAAAUCACGUCUGCAGCACAGGGCCUGCGUGCCCAUCAUCAUUACCACCAUCAUCAUCAUCAUCAUCAUCAUCAAAGUAAAGCCUGUCUGGCCUGCAGCCGAAACCCCUCCUGAUUAUAUAACAACAGUCUCUCACAGGCCUCAAACCUGCAUUGUUUUCACUCAUUUAUAUUUGUUUUUAAAGCGCAAAUAUUCAGAUCUGACGGCGGAUUAAACAGACCCAGCAACUGGUUGAGAAUAUCUCACACAGCGCGGGAGGAGGAGGAGGAGGAGGAGGAGGGGGAGGAGGAGAGAGAGAAAAGAAGAAGAUGCUUUAGACUGGAUAAUUGCCAUUUCUUAUAAAGACUGAUCUUCCUCAUUCCCUGUAAUAUAAACAUCAGGCCUACAGUGACAGUCCAGCCACAACAGCGCUGCAGCAGCGGAGUUAAUCGCCGGCAUAUUAGAAACACGGUUGCCCUUACCUUUGU
Long non-coding RNA from Dicentrarchus labrax (European seabass), 1310 nucleotides. RefSeq lists it as uncharacterized. The record is from RefSeq and is a predicted model, not a curated record. Lineage: Eukaryota; Metazoa; Chordata; Actinopteri; Moronidae. The transcript is spliced from 3 exons.